AGCGAACGCUGGCGGCAGGCUUAACACAUGCAAGUCGAACGCAUCCUUCGGGGUGAGUGGCAGACGGGUGAGUAACACGUGGGAACGUACCCUUCGAUCUGGGAUAACUCCGGGAAACUGGAGCUAAUACCGGAUACGCCCUUUUGGGGAAAGGUUUACUGUCGAAGGAUCGGCCCGCGUCUGAUUAGCUAGUUGGUGGGGUAACGGCCUACCAAGGCGACGAUCAGUAGCUGGUCUGAGAGGAUGAUCAGCCACACUGGGACUGAGACACGGCCCAGACUCCUACGGGAGGCAGCAGUGGGGAAUAUUGGACAAUGGGCGCAAGCCUGAUCCAGCCAUGCCGCGUGAGUGAUGAAGGCCUUAGGGUUGUAAAGCUCUUUUGUCCGGGACGAUAAUGACGGUACCGGAAGAAUAAGCCCCGGCUAACUUCGUG
Molecule: ribosomal RNA, 433 nt
Filed under: uncultured bacterium
Lineage: Bacteria
Description: partial 16S ribosomal RNA
Rfam family: Bacterial small subunit ribosomal RNA
Source: RNAcentral